RNAcentral lists this ribosomal RNA (253 nucleotides) under uncultured bacterium. RNAcentral describes it as "partial 16S ribosomal RNA". It matches the Rfam family "Bacterial small subunit ribosomal RNA", at positions 524 to 776 of the family's 1533-position model. The record is from RNAcentral.
UACGUAGGUGGCAAGCGUUGUCCGGAUUUAUUGGGUUUAAAGGGUGCGUAGGCGGUCAUAUAAGUCAGUGGUGAAAUACUUCAGCUCAACUGGAGAGGUGCCAUUGAUACUGUAUGACUUGAGUACGGACGAGGUAGGCGGAAUUGACGGUGUAGCGGUGAAAUGCUUAGAUAUCGUCAAGAACACCGAUAGUGAAGACAGCUAACUAAACUUUUACUGACGCUGAGGCACGAAAGUGUGGGGAUCAAACAGG